GGUAUGCACUGGCUUUACUGAUUCCUCCUUCUUGAAGAACUGUAAUGUCAUUAAUUUGGUGUUGCAGGGAAACAGGACUGUUACUUUGAAAAAAUUAGAGUGUUUAAAGCAGGCUAACGCUUGAAUACAUUAGCAUGGAAUAAUGAAAUAGGACGUUCGAUCCUAUUUUGUUGGUUUCUAGGAUUGACGUAAUGAUUAAUAGGGAUAGUUGGGGGCAUUAGUAUUCAAUUGUCAGAGGUGAAAUUCUUGGAUUUAUUGAAGACUAACUACUGCGAAAGCAUUUGCCAAGGAUGUUUUCAUUAAUCAAGAACGAAAGUUAGGGGAUCGAAGACGAUCAGAUACCGUCGUAGUCUUAACCAUAAACUAUGCCGACUAGGGAUCGGAUGAUGUUAAUUUUUUAAUGACUCAUUCGGCGCCUUACG
Molecule: ribosomal RNA, 422 nt
Filed under: uncultured Glomeromycotina
Lineage: Eukaryota; Fungi; Glomeromycota
Description: SSU rRNA
Rfam family: Eukaryotic small subunit ribosomal RNA
Source: RNAcentral